Lynx canadensis (Canada lynx) is the source of this 6555-nucleotide long non-coding RNA. RefSeq lists it as uncharacterized. The record is from RefSeq and is a predicted model, not a curated record. The transcript has 5 exons. Lineage: Eukaryota; Metazoa; Chordata; Mammalia; Carnivora; Felidae.
UGCCCCUCCCUCGCUCACGCUCUCUCUUUCUCUCUCAAAAAUAAACAUUUAAAAAAAUUUAAAAAUGACUACGUUAGAGAAGGAGAAAGUUCCAACAAACGAGCAGAUGGCCACAUGCUGGCCCCUCUUCCCAGCCCUCUCUGGAGUCCAUUUAGCAAACCUCGUGCUCUUUAACUAUCAUGUCGAAGUAAUAACAAUUUGAUGAGCAAUAACAAUAGCCAGCAGUAACUGUUUACUAUUUGUCUUGCUCUGUACUUUGCAUUGAACCCUUCUAGCAACGCUAUGAGGUAAGAUCUGUUGUUUAUUCCCAUUUUCCUGAUUAGGAAACUGAGCAUAAGUAAUUUGUCCCAACGUCCAGAGUAGGAAGUUACCGGCCUCCCUCCCUUAAAUGCAGCAACAUUCUGCUUCCCAGUACUGUGACAAAUUCAAACCAAAUGCAUAAUUCUAGCAUAUAGUAGGCACUCAAUAAAAGCAUAUUGACUACUGACGAUGGCACCAUUCUUAUGUAUGAAGUAGUCUGGAGCAUGUGAAAAGUUCAAGAAUUGAUCAUCAGACAGCAGAAUUUGCCUCAUUUAGUAGUUGAAGCAGCCCAUGGUGACUGUAUCAAAUCUGAAGCAGCUAAUCCACAAUGAAGGAGAAACUUUAACACAGGAAUAUUUCUAUCCUUGAACUUCCAGUCUGGCUGAAAAUAGUCAAGGCAGCAGAGAGCCGAGAGAGGACACCAGGCCAAAGGGACGAGCCUCUAACAACCUUUUCUCAUCCUCUCUACCUCUUCAAAAGAAAUGCCCAAGGCAACUGACCAGCCAGGAAAGCCUUAGAAAAGUCUUUAAAGUGGCUGCUCUGUCUCAAAUAGUUAAGUAGUUUUAAUUAGUUGUGUGUGUGUGGGGGGGGGGGGGGGGGGGGGGGGGAGGGUGGUAAAUGGAUCUUUAUUUUUUUCAGUUUAAAGGAUUAUUAUUAACUGUUCAGCCCUUUUACAAUCAAUAAACAAACUUCAUUAUAAAACUUGUAUAAUUUUGUAGCUUUUAUUGGUCUUUCCGACUCUAAGUAAGAGGUCUUAUUUCUUGGGCACCUACGUGGUACCUUGUACAGGGCUCCAAAAAGUCUUCUGUUUUGUUGUUUGAACAGAUGCUUUGAAAGAAAAAGAAAAAAAAAACCUUUUUGUAUGUCAGGGAUUGGAAGCUAGCAGGGCUGGGGGAAUAGGAGAUAAGUUAAGACUAACAUCCGUUUUAGGGCUUUGCGGUUUCGCCAGAGGAGGGGUAAGAUUGAGCCCUUUUAUAGUCGAGUACAUCCUGCACCAUUGGCUGUCUCGUAGCCCAAAAAAGGUGAACUGAAGUUCAGUUUCCAAGGGGUGUUUCAUUGUAUCGGCUACUCUGAAAUGUUUCCAUGCCUAGUACUCAGGACAGGGAGCAAUGGACUUUGCAUUGUCUUGCUCGCCAGCUGCCCACCAAGUGGAUCGAGUUGGUGUAAUAUAACCUGUCCCAUCCAGGCAGAUAUGUGAUUCACUCCUAAUUCCCAGUUCAAACCCUUGUGGUCCGCCCUUCGUUCAUCUUCCUCCACUUUCCUCCUCUUCCUCAGACUCUCCCAAGGAGCUCCGUCCUAUGAGGCAUCAUGUGUGGAAUUCUUUACCACUCUACGGAGUUAUUAAUAUCAGCCGUGUUCUCUGCUUUCCGUGAACCUGCAAAAGCAAGAGGAAAAUGGAGACAGAAAGACUGGAUACGUUGUUCAAGAUCCCCUGGUUUGGAAGUAUGAGUGUUGCCUCAAACCCAAGUCUUCCGGCCCCACACUCCUUGGUCUUACCUCUCUACCACGCACCUACUCAGAACGACAACUCAAAACAGAGGUAUGCCUGGAAAUAAGCAAUGUGUCAGUCCUGUUUCACAGAAGCCACCAAAUAACAGCAGGCUUUUACAACUCCAGAAAGGCUGGGAAUCAGACUCCUGCUGCACAUGUGUCCUUCUGUUCGCUAUUUCUAUUUCCAAGUCUUGCGCUUCUUCCAAAGUGUGUAAAGUCACUGGAAGUGCGUUGAAGAGAUGCAAACCAGGAAGUGUUUACGUGAUAAAACGGGCUCAGAGACAACUCUCUGGCAAGGGGAAACCAAGGGCGAGAAAACUGACCACCAGAGGAAGAUCGACUCCAACAACCGUCACGUAGUGGUUCCAGAAAUCGGCGGCCUGAUUCUGCUUCUCCGUGCUUUUGAUCUGCUUGUGCCACGUGAGACGUUGUGCGCCACGCCAUGAGAGACAGGGCAAAGAAGGCAUGGGAAGGUUCCGCUGACUUCUUUCUAAAUUGCAUUCUGGAAGACGUCACCUUUGUCAGCUCUUCUGCAAUAUAUUUAGAAAGUGGGUUCGAAUAUGUCCCGGUGUUCUCCCCGAAGGCACACACCCCUGCUCUGUGAAGUCCAGAACUGAGAAGGUUCCAGAAAGUGCGGUCCAAAGCAGGCAACCAGUCAGGCUGAGGAAACCACGAAAGCCCUCUCCUUAGACAGGAGGGUAACCAGAGCUGUGCUCGGACUCCACAGUUUAUUUUUCCCAUGCGGACAAGGGACGAAAGCCACUUUGCAGAACAAUGCUUCCGAGGCAUUUUAUUUGCAACACGAUCCUUUGCAAGAGGUGAGCUAAGAAGCAGGGUCAGCUCACACAGGGACUUCUCUCCCCUUGGCCGGCCCACCUAGCGGCAUCAGGCCGCAUCUCCAGGAGGGAGCGGGAGAAGCCCCCCAGUCCUUCAUGGGCACAGUAGGUUCCGCCUUAUUCUGGUACAAAGAUGCGUGUUUGCCGCAGGUAACCUCACACCACCCGGCACACCGCCGCUGAGUUGCACGGCGACGUAUGAACCCAAGUGACGCCUUAAUGUAUCAUGUUAAAUCACAUCCCACAGCUUCUUGGAUCCGAGAGAAAGUGACUGGGCCAGAGGGAGCUGCCACAUCUCUUUCUUCCAUUCUCUUUUACCUUCUAAUUAAUUUUUCUAAUGGGUCCUUGAUGUAAUAAACCAUUUAUCAUGUGCACCUUCUUCUGAGGCUUUUCUCCUUCCAAGUUAUUAACAUGUCCAGGGCUUUCCUAGGGAAAGUGUCUAGGCCUUGGCUGCCUGCUGUCCCCAGGAGAAUGCCAGGUGCGCGUCAUGGCUAUCCGUACCGUGUGCACAGAUAGCGCUCCGUGCCAGGCCACCGUGGAUUCAGUGAUUGUACUUUUUAUCCGGCAAUGGCCCUGAAUGGAGACAGAGCCAGGAAACAGAGCUUCAUCUCGUGAGGCUCCGUGGAGAGAGCCAGCUCUAGAAGUCGCUGGCCCAGCUGACGCACAGCUGAGAGCCUUAACAGGAGCACCAGGGCCUGAAUGGGGAGGGGACGAGUCUAUUAAGGGGGGCAGCUGGCAGAGAAGACGGAAUCACAGAGGGGUGUCCCCCUGAGAGCCAAUGAGGGCCUGGAAAUGAUCCUGUGACUUCAACUCACUCUGAUCUGAUCUUCUUCCAUAAAAACUGCUUGGAAAAAGCCCAACUGUCAUACAACGCGCUCCUUUUCACACCUAACCCUGCUAGUGUCUACACCUAUUGAGCAUUUACUGCAAGCGAACGACUAUAUAUACGCCAUCGCAUUCGAUCCUCACCAGUGCAAAGGGGUGGGAAAGAUCAGCCUCUGUGACAGAGAAGAGAGAGAUUUGCCUAGGCCACAAAGCGAAGGUAGGAAACUUGAGACUUGAGCCUGGGUCUCCCUGUCCCCAAGCUAACUCAUCCUCAUGCUAGACACACGCCCGCAGUUACGCCCUUGGGGCUCUGGCCUUUGUGAUAACAUUCUAAGCGGAGUCUCAGGCAAAGAACACAUCCAGCCCCCACUGUAUUUGCUGCCUAACCUCAAAAGGUGCCGGCCAUUAAAGCUAGAUUGAACCCGAGUUCUUGCUGAGACCGUCUUGAUAUUUUGGCAGAUUCACACCCUUGAUGAGAUUUGCUGUCUACGAUGAAAGUUGAUUCAAGGUCUUGGGACCAUUUUUCACACAAGACCCCCGUUUAUUAGUGGGGAGUGUGUUGUAGGGACACCUGGCCAGCACUUAAUUUGACCUGGUAACAUAGAAGCGAGGAGCCCCUUAAUCUGUCCCCCUGAGCCAGCCCUGCCCCCUGCUGACGUGUGCCUCAUAAAUUCAGCCAUUGUGUCUGUGAGCGCCUUGGCUGGAGCUGGGUUUAUGAGACAUCAAGGUGCUGUGCUGUGCACCUGUGUAGCUGAGAGCAGAAUGUUCGCUUCGGGGGUGGAAAAAAACCAAACGAACCCAGACCCUGGAAGGAAUUCAAGCACGAUCCCCUUUUGUUAGCGGUAAAAGAGGAGCACGCGGCCUGGAGUAACUUUGCGAAAGGCAAUUGAAAGAAACUCACGAGUCCCUACUUCACAUCCAUAUCCUUUAAUCCUUUGGAUAAAAUUUCACAUGCCCAGCGAGGUAACAGGCAUUCUUUUGCUCCCCCCACCAGCCAUGAUUUUAACGGGACCCUUCGGUUUCCUCCCUUCCCGCUGCCUUUGACCUGGCCACAACUAGGAUAGGAGCUACACUGCGGGAUUGCCUCAAAAUAGAGCACUUGGCAGAAAUGCUCUUUUGAAUGUUGCUGUUCUCCUGUAUAAAUCAGAAAUCCCCAGGUCUAAGCGCGUAACCCUUUCCGCGCCAUGAUUGUGUGUCGGCUUCCAAAGAGCAGCACAUGUCGCCCCGGCAGGCAACAGAGCAAGGAUCCCUUGGCUGUUUUAUGUUAGCGAUCUGUGGCUCAAAUAGGAGCCACGCCAGUCAGGAGGCCGUGUGGUCCAGCAGACAAAGCACUUACAACGAAGGGAGAGAGUCUUGAGAGGCAGUCAGCCUGCUUCUUCACCUUAGGUCAAUCAAUUACUUUCCUGUGUUUCAAUUCUUUUUUCCACCGGUAUCGCGGGAACAACAUCUAUUCUCCCAAUUCCUAGGAUGCUGCGAGAAUUAAAUUACAUAGUAACAGCAAAAUAAUUUGGCUUCAUUGGAAUUGGGCAUCGCCUGAACCUGAAUGGAAUGAAUGUGCAAUUCUUAAUGGCUUCCAUCUUCUGGCCAAGCUGCCUUGGGACCAGAACAAUAGGCCAGGUCUGGAUGCACAGGGAGGGGGCCGCGGGACCAAAGAGAGGCCGUAAGCAGAACGUGUUGCAUCUGAUUGCACAGAAAUGCCGCAGUGUCAUUGACACCAACAGCCCGAGUUCCCCACUCAGCAAAGACAUCGCGGAUUCCAGUGGGUGUUGACAGGGAAGAGGGAACAUAGCUCCGAGUAGCAGAAACUUUAUUAUAAUUAUUAUCGUGAUGGGUUUGGAUUAGAUUGCCAUCUCUGGCCCUCCAAAUUGUUCAUCCACUCGAGACUUUGAAUCUGGAAAGUCUGGCACAGACAAACAUGCACCUGAGUACGAGAGAGUGCCUCUGUCUGCUGUCUGUUUCUCUCUCUCUCUCUCUCUCUCUCUCUCUCUCUCUCACGCACACACACACACACAUGCAUGUGCACACAAUGUCUGUAAGAAAGAGCACUAAUAAGCCCCACUAGUGUUCCCGCCACUCUUGGAACCCCUCAGACGUGACCCUGUGUCUGUUUGUGUGCACAAUCAUGGCGACCGUUUCAUUCCAUUUCAUUCAUUUCCACCUUGCUCUCUUCCUCUGCCUGGAGUGUUCUUCCCCCAGAUUUUUCCAUGGCUGGCUGGCUCUUCCUGUUGUUCAGAUCUCACUAAAAUCUCACCUCUGUGGAGAGACUUUACCUGGCCACUCCCACCUCAAAUAGCCUCAUCUUGUUUCUUUGCACAGGACUUUACUCAUCAAACCAUUUAUUCCCUGUGAUAUUUUUGUUGGCUCAUUUUCUGACUUCUUCCUGUGGCAGAGACAAGCAGGUACCUCCUGCCAUUCAUUCUUUCUUUGUUCUUUAGCAGAACCCCAAAUUUUAGCCAGGUAUGUGGUCAGUCAGAACAAGACCACAUAUCCCAGUAUCCCUGGCAGUGAGGCGUAGCUAUGUGUCUCAGUUCUGGUCAAUGAAAUAUAAAUAGAGGUAUCUUUAGAAGGAGGAGAAGCACUCUUUUUAUUCUCUUUCCUGCUUCUUGUUGGCUGGGAUGUGAAUGCGAUUGCUAGGACUUAGGCAGCCACGUUGGACUCUGAGGUGAAAGCCUCAUACUUAGGACACCAGAGCACCAAGAUACUAGGCUCCUGCGUCUUUGAUGGCAUUAUGGUGUGGCCCUACCAGCCCUGGGUCAUGUCCCUCUGGACUUUUAUGUGACCGAGAAAUUAGGCUGUAAUUUGCUAAAGCUAUCGUUAUGUCAGGUCUUCUGUCAUUUGCAGCUAAAUUGACUCCUAACUUCUAAUGUCAAUUUCUACCCCCACCUUCAAACCUCCCUCCCAAGAGAAUAUGAACUGUAUAAAAAUAAGAAUCGUACUUGCCUUGUUCAGUGCCCUAUGCCCAGCACUGGAAUGACACCCACACAUAGUAGUCAUUUGGUAAAUGCUUAUUCAAGGAAUAGCUUGCUCGUGUCUCUAAUUUCUUCCCUCUACUGGCUCCUUUCUCUCUCUGCAUUGCACUGUUUUAGUUUUCUUUUAACCUCCC